AGAGUUUGAUCCUGGCUCAGAUUGAACGCUGGCGGCAUGCUUUACACAUGCAAGUCGAACGGUAACAGGGAGCUUGCUCCGCUGACGAGUGGCGAACGGGUGAGUAAUGCAUCGGAACGUACCGUGUAAUGGGGGAUAACGUAGCGAAAGUUACGCUAAUACCGCAUACGCCCUGAGGGGGAAAGUGGGGGACCGCAAGGCCUCACGUUAUACGAGCGGCCGAUGCCGGAUUAGCUAGUUGGUGGGGUAAAGGCCUACCAAGGCGACGAUCCGUAGCGGGUCUGAGAGGAUGAUCCGCCACACUGGGACUGAGACACGGCCCAGACUCCUACGGGAGGCAGCAGUGGGGAAUUUUGGACAAUGGGGGCAACCCUGAUCCAGCCAUGCCGCGUGAGUGAAGAAGGCCUUCGGGUUGUAAAGCUCUUUCAGGUGGAAAGAAAUCUCCCGGGUGAAUACCCUGGGAGGAUGACGGUACCAUCAGAAGAAGCACCGGCUAACUACGUGCCAGCAGCCGCGGUAAUACGUAGGGUGCGAGCGUUAAUCGGAAUUACUGGGCGUAAAGCGUGCGCAGGCGGUUGUGUAAGACAGAUGUGAAAUCCCCGGGCUCAACCUGGGAACUGCGUUUGUGACUGCACAACUAGAGUACGGCAGAGGGAGGUGGAAUUCCGCGUGUAGCAGUGAAAUGCGUAGAGAUGCGGAGGAACACCGAUGGCGAAGGCAGCCUCCUGGGCCAGUACUGACGCUCAUGCACGAAAGCGUGGGGAGCAAACAGGAUUAGAUACCCCGGUAGU
Molecule: ribosomal RNA, 791 nt
Filed under: uncultured bacterium
Lineage: Bacteria
Description: bacterial SSU rRNA
Rfam family: Bacterial small subunit ribosomal RNA
Source: RNAcentral